UUAUUUGUGAGUUGUUGUCUUAUCAGUUCGUUACGCACUUAUAUUAAUUUCUUCUAUAGCCUACCCCAACACCUAAGCGUCCUAAUGAAGAUGAACUUGGAGAUUCUGAUGAGGAAAGUGUACGUUCGAAAAAAAAGUACGUCGACGAGCAGUCGGUUCGGAAUUGGAAAGAUCUGCAAAGAUCCCAACCAUCAUCAUCUACCCAAAGAACCUACUGUAACUGACAAAGAACGCGAAGAUAUUCUAAAAUUUGUAGAAAAUGUUGUUACAGAGAUGAUAUUAUAUUAUAUUGCUGACAUUAAUUCGGCAAAUGAAAAUGGUUCCAAAAAGUAUCUGUGAUUAGGGCAAGACCAAUCUUGAUUGUCAAUGUGGGAUGCUAGCUCAACAGUAUCUGGACUGUAUUUUUUGAUGAAAUGAAUAAUCCAAUCAUAAUGGUUAUCAAACACAGACGAAGGUGAGUAAGUUUUGUUAAAUUUACGCAUAUGUGACCAAAUAAUUGAAAUAGGUGUAGUUCUGUUAAAGGAUUCACAUAAUUUGUAACAACCUAAUCUUCUUUCAGAUCUAAUUAUGUAUUUCUUCUUAGCUUGAAGCUUUUUAUAGUUUAUAUAAUUCUCAUCACUUGGGUCUUCUUUGAAUUGGAGGUGAUAGCUGCCUAAUGGAUCGUCGAAGACCAUCCAGUCACCUUGUAAAGAGAUGGAAGGAGAGACUAUGUUUAAAUCCAAGACAUUAGGUCUCCAUAUGUGAGAGCCGACUGUAGUAACAUGACCAUCAUUUAGUAGGACUAAAUUGUUUUUAUGAAUGACAUCUAAAAUGUCUUUGCCCCUGCAAUCAGAGGUUUGGCUGCCCCAAACUAUAUUAUGACAGUUCCCCCUCAAUAUUGAUAUAGAUUCAAAAUUGACAUAAUAAUAUAAAUGUGACAAUCCCCCGCCAAGAAAAUUGGUUGAGGGAGGCUUUUAAUUAAAUUAUUCAGUUUAUGUGGUGAAAAAGGAGGGCUGCAAUUACCUGGGCUGUAAAGGCUUACAAUAGUUAAUUCCUUGCAAUUUGAAUAUUUAAUUCUAAUAGCUAUAUUUUGAAGAGAAUUAUCAUAAACAGUAUUUACAUUAGAGUAAGAGAUAGAUCUAUGUACAAGUAUGGCUACACCAUUGUGAGAGUUUCCUGAGUGUAGUCUUACUAUAUCGAAAUUAUGCAAUUUAAAUUUAUGAUGAGAUUUAAGCCAAGUCUCGCAAAGAAUGGCCACAUGAAUAUUGUUAUCAAAAAGAAAAUGGUUGAAAAUAUGUUGAUUGUGCAAUAUACUCUGAGCAUUCCACUGUACUAUAUUUAAAGUAUCCAUUAGGAUAUAAUUAAAGAUUGUUUACUAUUCUGCUUUUUGAAAGAAUCUUUUAAAACAUCGUUUUAUGGUUUCAGAGCAAAUUUUGGAUUCAUUGGUCCUGUUGAGGGUGAUUAAUUUAACAAGUGAUUCAGUAAUGGUUUUAAGUAUUAUUUCUGAAUUGAGUAAUGAAAGAAAUUGGUCUGUUUUACUAUGUGAGGGAAAAUUAGUGCUAUUAAGAGCUUGUGCAUAACUUUUAUUUUGAAAUUUAUCCUUAGUUUGCUGAAUUUUUUCUUUUUUGAUAGGGCAAAUAGAAGAUAUUGAAAUAUGGUUCCCUUUACAAUGGCAACAAGAGGCCUCUUUGGGGUUAACGUUGCAAGAUUUAAAGUUGUGACCUUCUCCACAGAUGGAGCACCUUUCAGCGUAUUUACAAAAUUUGGCGAUGUGACCAUAUUAUCUCAAGCCACGGAGGCACUGUUUUACUGGAGGUAUGUAGGCACGAACUUCAAAUCUCCAACUAUUCAAGUCAACACUCUCAGUAUCUUACUCAGAAAUGAUGGAGUCCGACUCAGAGUCCCGCACCGCAGCGCUUUCCUCGGAGUCUCCCUCGACAUCUUCUUUUUUCUUACGCCCUUUUCUACCGCGGGACAUCGCGGCAACAAUCACACUUUAUAACCUACCCCAACACCUAAGCGUCCUAAUGAAGAUGAACUUGGAGAUUCUGAUGAGGAAAGUGUACGUUCGAAAAAAAAGUACGUCGACGAGCUUCAGGAUAGAAACGGACAUAAUUCGGUAAUUUAAAUGAAAUAUACUUAUCAGUAUCUUACUCAGAAAUGAUGGAGUCCGACUCAGAGUCCCGCACCGCAGCGCUUUCCUCGGAGUCUCCCUCGACAUCUUUUUUCUUACGCCCUUUUCUACCGCGGGACAUCGCGGCAACAAUCACACUUUAUAAGUAAAUAAAACUUU
Molecule: long non-coding RNA, 2272 nt
Organism: Pieris rapae (cabbage white)
Lineage: Eukaryota; Metazoa; Arthropoda; Insecta; Lepidoptera; Pieridae
Exons: 5
Source: RefSeq, a predicted model, not a curated record